Molecule: ribosomal RNA, 1398 nt
Filed under: uncultured bacterium
Lineage: Bacteria
Description: 16S ribosomal RNA
Rfam family: Bacterial small subunit ribosomal RNA
Source: RNAcentral
AGAGUUUGAUCCUGGCUCAGGAUGAACGCUAGCGGCAGGCUUAACACAUGCAAGUCGAGGGGCAUCGGGAGGGAAGCUUGCUUUCCUUGCCGGCGACCGGCGCACGGGUGAGUAACACGUAUGCAACCUGCCCUCUUCAGGGGGACAACCUUCCGAAAGGGAGGCUAAUCCCGCGUAUAUCGGUUUCGGGCAUCCGGGAUCGAGGAAAGAUUCAUCGGAAGAGGAUGGGCAUGCGGCGCAUUAGCUGGACGGCGGGGUAACGGCCCACCGUGGCGACGAUGCGUAGGGGUUCUGAGAGGAAGGUCCCCCACACUGGUACUGAGACACGGACCAGACUCCUACGGGAGGCAGCAGUGAGGAAUAUUGGUCAAUGGGAGAGAUCCUGAACCAGCCAAGCCGCGUGAGGGAAGACGGCCCUAUGGGUUGUAAACCUCUUUUGUCGGAGAACAAAACCCGGGACGUGUCCCGGACUGCGUGUAUCCGAAGAAAAAGCAUCGGCUAACUCCGUGCCAGCAGCCGCGGUAAUACGGAGGAUGCGAGCGUUAUCCGGAUUUAUUGGGUUUAAAGGGUGCGUAGGCGGUCCGUUAAGUCAGCGGUAAAAUUGCGGGGCUCAACCCCGUCGAGCCGUUGAAACUGGCAGACUUGAGUUGGCGAGAAGUACGCGGAAUGCGCGGUGUAGCGGUGAAAUGCAUAGAUAUCGCGCGGAACUCCGAUUGCGAAGGCAGCGUACCGGCGCCAGACUGACGCUGAGGCACGAAAGCGUGGGGAUCGAACAGGAUUAGAUACCCUGGUAGUCCACGCAGUAAACGAUGAAUGCUGGUUGUCCGGGUCGAAUGAGAUCUGGGCGGCGAAGCGAAAGCGAUAAGCAUUCCACCUGGGGAGUACGCCGGCAACGGUGAAACUCAAAGGAAUUGACGGGGGCCCGCACAAGCGGAGGAACAUGUGGUUUAAUUCGAUGAUACGCGAGGAACCUUACCCGGGCUCAAACGGGAGUGGAAUGGACCAGAGACGGUUCAGCCUACGGGCCGCUUCCGAGGUGCUGCAUGGUUGUCGUCAGUUCGUGCCGUGAGGUGUCGGCUUAAGUGCCAUAACGAGCGCAACCCCCGCCGGCAGUUGCUAACGGGCAAUGCCGAGGACUCUGCCGGGACUGCCGCCGCAAGGCGAGAGGAAGGCGGGGAUGACGUCAAAUCAGCACGGCCCUUACGUCCGGGGCGACACACGUGUUACAAUGGGCGGUACAGCGGGAAGCCAGGCGGCGACGCCGAGCGGAACCCGAAAGCCGUUCUCAGUUCGGAUCGGAGUCUGCAACCCGACUCCGUGAAGCUGGAUUCGCUAGUAAUCGCGCAUCAGCCAUGGCGCGGUGAAUACGUUCCCGGGCCUUGCACACACCGCCCGUCA